GAUGAACGCUGGCGGCGUGCCUAAUACAUGCAAGUAGAACGCUGAAGGAAGGAGCUUGCUCUUUCCGGAUGAGUUGCGAACGGGUGAGUAACGCGUAGGUAACCUGCCUGGUAGCGGGGGAUAACUAUUGGAAACGAUGGCUAAUACCGCAUAACAGUAGAUGUUGCAUGAUAUCUACUUAAAAGGUGCAAUUGCACCACUACCAGAUGGACCUGCGUUGUAUUAGCUAGUUGGUGAGGUAACGGCUCACCAAGGCGACGAUACAUAGCCGACCUGAGAGGGUGAUCGGCCACACUGGGACUGAGACACGGCCCAGACUCCUACGGGAGGCAGCAGUAGGGAAUCUUCGGCAAUGGACGGAAGUCUGACCGAGCAACGCCGCGUGAGUGAAGAAGGUUUUCGGAUCGUAAAGCUCUGUUGUAAGAGAAGAACGAGUGUGAGAGUGGAAAGUUCACACUGUGACGGUAUCUUACCAGAAAGGGACGGCUAACUACGUG
Molecule: ribosomal RNA, 497 nt
Filed under: uncultured bacterium
Lineage: Bacteria
Description: partial 16S ribosomal RNA
Rfam family: Bacterial small subunit ribosomal RNA
Source: RNAcentral